This is a non-coding RNA of Chrysemys picta bellii (western painted turtle), 231 nucleotides long. The record is from RefSeq and is a predicted model, not a curated record. Lineage: Eukaryota; Metazoa; Chordata; Testudines; Emydidae.
ACCCUGGGCACGCAGACGGACACCAACCAAGUCCGGGAUCUGCAUAGGGUCAUACCAGACCUUCUGGAUGCCAUGCUGGGGAACCUGCUGGCAAAGACCCCAGACACGGACAAGCUCCACUACAUCUUGGAGCACCUUAACUACUGGACCGUGUCCAGGGUGCCACGAGAGAGAGCCAGGGCCAUCAGGAGCAGUGCGGCCCUGCUCACGUCCGUCAUCUCCCUCCCUGAC